RNAcentral lists this transfer RNA (85 nucleotides) under Felis catus (domestic cat). It matches the Rfam family "tRNA". Rfam says of the family: Transfer RNA (tRNA) molecules are approximately 80 nucleotides in length. Their secondary structure includes four short double-helical elements and three loops (D, anti-codon, and T loops). Lineage: Eukaryota; Metazoa; Chordata; Mammalia; Carnivora; Felidae. The record is from Rfam by way of RNAcentral.
GCCUGGAUGGCUCAGCUGGCUGAGCGUCCGACUUGGGCUCAGAUCAUGAUCUCCCAGCUUGUGAGUUCAAGCCCCACAUCAGGCU